GACGAACGCUGUUUGCGUGCUUAACACAUGCAAGUCGAACGGAAAGGCCCUGCUUUUGUGGGGUGCUCGAGUGGCGAACGGGUGAGUAACACGUGAGUAACCUGCCCUUGACUUUGGGAUAACUUCAGGAAACUGGGGCUAAUACCGGAUAGGAGCUCCUGCUGCAUGGUGGGGGUUGGAAAGUUUCGGCGGUUGGGGAUGGACUCGCGGCUUAUCAGCUUGUUGGUGGGGUAGUGGCUUACCAAGGCUUUGACGGGUAGCCGGCCUGAGAGGGUGACCGGCCACAUUGGGACUGAGAUACGGCCCAGACUCCUACGGGAGGCAGCAGUGGGGAAUAUUGCACAAUGGGCGGAAGCCUGAUGCAGCAACGCCGCGUGCGGGAUGACGGCCUUCGGGUUGUAAACCGCUUUCGCCUGUGACGAAGCGUGAGUGACGGUAAUGGGUAAAGAAGCACCGGCUAACUACGUGCCAGCAGCCGCGGUGAUACGUAGGGUGCGAGCGUUGUCCGGAUUUAUUGGGCGUAAAGGGCUCGUAGGUGGUUGAUCGCGUCGGAAGUGUAAUCUUGGGGCUUAACCCUGAGCGUGCUUUCGAUACGGGUUGACUUGGGGAAGGUAGGGGAGAAUGGAAUUCCUGGUGGAGCGGUGGAAUGCGCAGAUAUCAGGAGGAACACCAGUGGCGAAGGCGGUUCUCUGGGCCUUUCCUGACGCUGAGGAGCGAAAGCGUGGGGAGCGAACAGGCUUAGAUACCCUGGUAGUCCACGCUGUAAACGGUGGGUACUAGGUGUGGGGUCCAUUCCACGGGUUCCGUGCCGUAGCUAACGCUUUAAGUACCCCGCCUGGGGAGUACGGCCGCAAGGCUAAAACUCAAAGGAAUUGACGGGGCCCCGCACAAGCGGCGGAGCAUGCGGAUUAAUUCGAUGCAACGCGUAGAACCUUACCUGGGUUUGACAUGGAUCGGGAGUGCUCAGAGAUGGGUGUGCCUCUUUUGGGGUCGGUUCACAGGUGGUGCAUGGCUGUCGUCAGCUCGUGUCGUGAGAUGUCGGGUUAAGUCCCGCAACGAGCGCAACCCUUGUUCACUGUUGCCAGCACGUUAUGGUGGGGACUCAGUGGAGACCGCCGGGGUCAACUCGGAGGAAGGUGGGGAUGACGUCAAGUCAUCAUGCCCCUUAUGUCCAGGGCUUCACGCAUGCUACAAUGGCUGGUACAGAGAGUGGCGAGCCUGUGAGGGUGAGCGAAUCUCGGAAAGCCGGUCUCAGUUCGGAUUGGGGUCUGCAACUCGACCUCAUGAAGUCGGAGUCGCUAGUAAUCGCAGAUCAGCAACGCUGCGGUGAAUACGUUCCCGGGGCU
RNAcentral lists this ribosomal RNA (1346 nucleotides) under uncultured bacterium. RNAcentral's name for it is "partial 16S ribosomal RNA". It matches the Rfam family "Bacterial small subunit ribosomal RNA", at positions 28 to 1381 of the family's 1533-position model. The record is from RNAcentral.